RNAcentral lists this ribosomal RNA (422 nucleotides) under bacterium T-2-0-4C. Its description in RNAcentral is "bacterial SSU rRNA". It matches the Rfam family "Bacterial small subunit ribosomal RNA", at positions 469 to 890 of the family's 1533-position model. The record is from RNAcentral.
UGGACGUUACUCGCAGAAUAAGCACCGGCUAACUCUGUGCCAGCAGCCGCGGUAAUACAGAGGGUGCAAGCGUUAAUCGGAUUUACUGGGCGUAAAGCGCGCGUAGGUGGCCAAUUAAGUCAAAUGUGAAAUCCCCGAGCUUAACUUGGGAAUUGCAUUCGAUACUGGUUGGCUAGAGUAUGGGAGAGGAUGGUAGAAUUCCAGGUGUAGCGGUGAAAUGCGUAGAGAUCUGGAGGAAUACCGAUGGCGAAGGCAGCCAUCUGGCCUAAUACUGACACUGAGGUGCGAAAGCAUGGGGAGCAAACAGGAUUAGAUACCCUGGUAGUCCAUGCCGUAAACGAUGUCUACUAGCCGUUGGGGCCUUUGAGGCUNNAGUGGCGCAGCUAACGCGAUAAGUAGACCGCCUGGGGAGUACGGUCGCA